ACCUUUGCACAGUAGCAGUAUUAUUGCCAGUGAGGUCUAUCUAAGGCACAGUUAUUGCUAAAUGAAACUUUUCAUUAUACUAAGUGGCAUAAGCCA
RNAcentral lists this small nuclear RNA (96 nucleotides) under Dasypus novemcinctus (nine-banded armadillo). Its description in RNAcentral is "U4 spliceosomal RNA (ENSDNOG00000030540.2)". Lineage: Eukaryota; Metazoa; Chordata; Mammalia; Cingulata; Dasypodidae. The record is from RNAcentral.